Molecule: ribosomal RNA, 375 nt
Filed under: uncultured organism
Description: partial 16S ribosomal RNA
Rfam family: Bacterial small subunit ribosomal RNA
Source: RNAcentral
GUAGGUGGCAAGCGUUGUCCGGGAAUUAUUGGGGCGUAAAGCGCGCGCAGGCGGUUCUUUAAGUCUGAUGUGAAAGCCCACGGGCUCAACCGUGGAGGGUCAUUGGAAACUGGAGAACUUGAGUACAGAAGAGGCAAGCGGAAUUCCACGUGUAGCGGUGAAAUGCGUAGAGAUGUGGAGGAACACCAGUGGCGAAGGCGGCUUUCUGGUCUGUAACUGACGCUGAGGCGCGAAAGCGUGGGGAGCAAACAGGAUUAGAUACCCUGGUAGUCCACGCCGUAAACGAUGAGUGCUAAGUGUUAGGGGGUUUCCGCCCCUUAGUGCUGCAGCUAACGCAUUAAGCACUCCGCCUGGGGAGUACGGCCGCAAAGGCUG